This 253-nucleotide ribosomal RNA is filed under the name uncultured bacterium. RNAcentral's name for it is "partial 16S ribosomal RNA". It matches the Rfam family "Bacterial small subunit ribosomal RNA", at positions 524 to 776 of the family's 1533-position model. RNAcentral also lists the same sequence under 1 other name. The record is from RNAcentral.
UACGUAGGGGCCGAGCGUUGUCCGGAAUUACUGGGCGUAAAGCGCGCGCAGGCGGCUUUUCAAGCCUGACGUGAAAGCCCCCGGCUCAACCGGGGAGGGUCGUCGGGGACUGGGAAGCUUGAGGGCGGUAGGGGCCGGUGGAAUUCCCGGUGUAGUGGUGAAAUGCGUAGAGAUCGGGAGGAACACCAGUAGCGAAGGCGGCCGGCUGGGCCGACCCUGACGCUGAGGCGCGAAGGCGUGGGGAGCGAACGGG